AACUCAGCGGCUAGAGUACCGUCUUCACACGGCGGGAGUCACUGGUUCGAAUCCAGUA
This 58-nucleotide transfer RNA is filed under the name Planctomycetota bacterium. Its description in RNAcentral is "Planctomycetes bacterium (bioreactor metagenome) tRNA-Val". It matches the Rfam family "tRNA", at positions 9 to 63 of the family's 71-position model. Rfam says of the family: Transfer RNA (tRNA) molecules are approximately 80 nucleotides in length. Their secondary structure includes four short double-helical elements and three loops (D, anti-codon, and T loops). The record is from RNAcentral. Lineage: Bacteria; Pseudomonadati; Planctomycetota.